AUUGAACGCUGGCGGCAUGCCUUACACAUGCAAGUCGAACGGUAACAGGUCUUCGGAUGCUGACGAGUGGCGAACGGGUGAGUAAUACAUCGGAGCGUGCCCGAUCGUGGGGGAUAACGCAGCGAAAGCUGUGCUAAUACCGCAUACGAUCUACGGAUGAAAGCGGGGGAUCGCAAGACCUCGCGCGGACGGAGCGGCCGAUGGCAGAUUAGGUAGUUGGUGGGAUAAAAGCUUACCAAGCCGACGAUCUGUAGCUGGUCUGAGAGGACGACCAGCCACACUGGGACUGAGACACGGCCCAGACUCCUACGGGAGGCAGCAGUGGGGAAUUUUGGACAAUGGGCGCAAGCCUGAUCCAGCCAUGCCGCGUGCAGGAUGAAGGCCUCGGUUGUAAACUGCUUUGUACGGUAACGAAAGGUACGUUUCUAAUAAAGUAAGGACGUCAUGACGGUACCGUAACGAAUAAGACACCGGCGUAACUACGUGCC
RNAcentral lists this ribosomal RNA (488 nucleotides) under uncultured bacterium. RNAcentral's name for it is "bacterial SSU rRNA". It matches the Rfam family "Bacterial small subunit ribosomal RNA", at positions 30 to 509 of the family's 1533-position model. The record is from RNAcentral.